Molecule: ribosomal RNA, 428 nt
Filed under: uncultured bacterium
Lineage: Bacteria
Description: bacterial SSU rRNA
Rfam family: Bacterial small subunit ribosomal RNA
Source: RNAcentral
UGGGGAAUUGUUCGCAAUGGGCGCAAGCCUGACGACGCAACGCCGCGUGGAGGAUGAAGGUCUUCGGAUUGUAAACUCCUGUUGCCCGGGACGAAUGGCCCUGACCUAACACGUCGGGGUGUGACGGUACCGGGUGAGGAAGCCCCGGCUAACUCUGUGCCAGCAGCCGCGGUAAUACAGAGGGGGCAAGCGUUGUUCGGAAUUACUGGGCGUAAAGGGCGCGUAGGCGGCCUGCUAAGUCGAACGUGAAAUCCCCGGGCUCAACUCGGGAACUGCGUUCGAUACUGACAGGCUUGAAUCCGGGAGAGGGAUGCGGAAUUCCAGGUGUAGCGGUGAAAUGCGUAGAUAUCUGGAGGAACACCGGUGGCGAAGGCGGCAUCCUGGACCGGCAUUGACGCUGAGGCGCGAAAGCCAGGGGAGCAAACGGG